GAUGAACGCUCGCGAUAGGCUUAACACAUGCAAGUCGAGGGGCAGCACAAGGUAGCUUGCUAUCUGGGUGGCGACCGGCGCACGGGUGCGUAACGCGUAUGCAACUUGCCCUAUACAGGAGGAUAACCCGUCGAAAGACGGACUAAUACUGCGUAUGCUCACAACUUGGCAUCAAGUGGUGAGGAAAGAAAUUCGGUAUAGGAUAGGCAUGCGUCCCAUUAGCUUGUUGGUGAGGUAACGGCUCACCAAGGCAACGAUGGGUAGGGGAACUGAGAGGUUUAUCCCCCACACUGGUACUGAGACACGGACCAGACUCCUACGGGAGGCAGCAGUGAGGAAUAUUGGUCAAUGGGCGCGAGCCUGAACCAGCCAAGUCGCGUGAAGGAUGACUGUCUUAUGGAUUGUAAACUUCUUUUAUACGGGAAUAACAAGAGUCACGGGUGACUCCCUGCAUGUACCGUAUGAAUAAGCAUCGGCUAACUCCGUG
This 487-nucleotide ribosomal RNA is filed under the name uncultured bacterium. RNAcentral's name for it is "partial 16S ribosomal RNA". It matches the Rfam family "Bacterial small subunit ribosomal RNA", at positions 28 to 507 of the family's 1533-position model. The record is from RNAcentral.